RNAcentral lists this ribosomal RNA (520 nucleotides) under uncultured Glomus. RNAcentral's name for it is "SSU rRNA". It matches the Rfam family "Eukaryotic small subunit ribosomal RNA", at positions 569 to 1091 of the family's 1831-position model. The record is from RNAcentral. Lineage: Eukaryota; Fungi; Glomeromycota; Glomeromycetes; Glomerales; Glomeraceae.
AGCAGCCGCGGUAAUUCCAGCUCCAAUAGCGUAUAUUAAGGUUGUUGCAGUUAAAAGCUCGUAGUUGAAUUUCGGGAUCAAAGGAUCGGUCAUGCCUUGGUAUGUACUGGUUUUAUUGGUUCUCACCUUCUAAAGAACCAUAAUGUCAUUCAUUUGAUGUUAUGGGGAAUUAGGACUGUUACCUUGAAAAAAUUAGAGUGUUUAAAGCAGGCUUACGCUUGAAUACAUUAGCAUGGAAUAAUGAAAUAGGACAUCAGAUUCUAUUUUGUUGGUUUCUAGGAUCGAUGUAAUGAUUAAUAGGGAUAGUUGGGGGCAUUAGUAUUCAAUUGUCAGAGGUGAAAUUCUUGGAUUUAUUGAAGACUAACUACUGCGAAAGCAUUUGCCAAGGAUGUUUUCAUUAAUCAAGAACGAAAGUUAGGGGAUCGAAGACGAUCAGAUACCGUCGUAGUCUUAACCAUAAACUAUGCCGACUAGGGAUCGGAUGAUGUUAAUUUUUAUAAUGACUCAUUCGGCACCUUAC